CAGUAGCCACGGUAAUACGAAGGGGGCUAGCGUUGUUCGGAAUUACUGGGCGUAAAGCGCACGUAGGCGGAUAUUUAAGUCAGGGGUGAAAUCCCAGAGCUCAACUCUGGAACUGCCUUUGAUACUGGGUAUCUUGAGUAUGGAAGAGGUGAGUGGAAUUCCGAGUGUAGAGGUGAAAUUCGUAGAUAUUCGGAGGAACACCAGUGGCGAAGGCGGCUCACUGGUCCAUUACUGACGCUGAGGUGCGAAAGCGUGGGGAGCAAACAGGAUUAGAUACCCCAGUAGUCCCUGUCUCUUAUAC
RNAcentral lists this ribosomal RNA (301 nucleotides) under uncultured bacterium. Its description in RNAcentral is "partial 16S ribosomal RNA". It matches the Rfam family "Bacterial small subunit ribosomal RNA", at positions 509 to 807 of the family's 1533-position model. The record is from RNAcentral.